CGUCACGGGCUCGAUCCGUCCCACCCUCCGUCUACCAUCCUCCGUUGCCUCGGCGGGCGGCCCGGCCGCCCGUCGGAGGCCCCGUAACCACGCUCUAAUGACUGUGGGGUUCUGAGUGUCGGCUUUAAUGGCUUAAAACUUUCAACAACGGAUCUCUUGGCUCUGGCGUCGAUGAAGAACGCAGCGAAACGCGAUAGGUAAUCUGAAUUGCAGAAUUCAGCGAAUGAUCGAAUCUUUGAACGCACAUGGCGCCCUCUGGUAUUCCGGGGGGCACGCCUGUCCGAGCGUCAUCACACCCCUCAAGCCUCGCUUGGUAUUGGGCCGCGCCGCUGUGUCGGCGGGCCUGAAACGUGCUGGCGGCGUCGUGAGCCCCCGAAGCGCACAUGGUCUUGCACCGCGCGCGAGGACGGUCGCGUCGCCUGUCAUGGUGACCCCUCACCCUCGUAAUCGACCUCGGAUCAGGCGGGGAUACCCGCUGAACUUAAGCAUAUCAAUAAGCGGAGGAAUAUCGAGAGCGGCGGGCCCGACACGGGCUGAUCGUCACCUCCGUCUACCAUCCUCCGUUGCCUCGGCGGGCGGCCGGCGCCCGUCGGAGGCCCGUAACCACGCUCUAAUGACUGUGGGGUUCUGAGUGUCG
This 637-nucleotide ribosomal RNA is filed under the name Dendryphiopsis sp. MFLUCC 10-0762. RNAcentral's name for it is "eukaryotic LSU rRNA". The stretch from base 137 to 290 matches the Rfam family "5.8S ribosomal RNA". Lineage: Eukaryota; Fungi; Ascomycota; Dothideomycetes; Kirschsteiniotheliales; Kirschsteiniotheliaceae. The record is from RNAcentral.